AUUGAACGCUGGCGGCAGGCCUAACACAUGCAAGUCGAACGAGUGGCGGACGGGUGAGUAAUGUCUGGGAAACUGCCUGAUGGAGGGGGAUAACUACUGGAAAAGGUAGCUAAUACCGCAUCCCAUCGGCUGUGACCAGAUGGGAUUAGCUUGUAGGUGGGGUAACGGCUCACCAAGGCGACGAUACCUAGCUGGUCUGAGAGGAUGACCAGUCACACUGGAACUGAGACACGGUCCAGAUGCCGACGGGAGGCAGCAGUGGGUAAUAUUGCACAAUGGGCGCAAGCCUGAUGCAGCCAUGCCGCGUGUAUUAAGAAGGCCUUCGGGUUGUAAAGUACUUUCAGCGAGGAGGCGUUACCCGCAGAAGAAGCACCGGCUAACUCCGUGCCAGCAGCCGCGGUAAUUC
RNAcentral lists this ribosomal RNA (406 nucleotides) under uncultured bacterium. RNAcentral's name for it is "partial 16S ribosomal RNA". It matches the Rfam family "Bacterial small subunit ribosomal RNA", at positions 30 to 526 of the family's 1533-position model. The record is from RNAcentral.